AAUGGGCGAAAGCCUGACCCAGCAACGCCGCGUGAAGGAAGAAGGCUUUCGGGUUGUAAACUUCUUUGACAGGGGAAGAGUAGAAGACGGUACCCUGAAAACAAGCCACGGCUAACUACGUGCCAGCAGCCGCGGUAAUACGUAGGUGGCAAGCGUUGUCCGGAUUUACUGGGUGUAAAGGGCGUGCAGCCGGAGAGGCAAGUCAGAUGUGAAAUGCUUGGGCUUAACCCAGGAACUGCAUUUGAAACUGUCUCCCUUGAGUAUCGGAAAGGUAACCGGAAUUCCUAGUGUAGCGGUGAAAUGCGUAGAUAUUAGGAAGAACAUCAGUGGCGAAGGCGGGUUACUGGACGACAACUGACGGUGAGGCGCGAAAGCGUGGGGAGCAAA
Molecule: ribosomal RNA, 387 nt
Filed under: uncultured bacterium
Lineage: Bacteria
Description: bacterial SSU rRNA
Rfam family: Bacterial small subunit ribosomal RNA
Source: RNAcentral